Molecule: unclassified non-coding RNA, 363 nt
Filed under: uncultured Phialophora
Lineage: Eukaryota; Fungi; Ascomycota; Leotiomycetes
Description: sequence contains ITS2
Rfam family: 5.8S ribosomal RNA (bases 1-155)
Source: RNAcentral
AACUUUCGACAACGGAUCACUUGGUUCUCGCAUCGAUGAAGAACGCAGCGAAUCGCGAUAAGUAAUGUGAAUUGCAGAUUUUCAGUGAAUCAUCGAAUCUUUGAACGCACAUUGCGCCCGCUGGUAUUCCGGCGGGCAUGCCUGUUCGAGCGUCAUUAUGACCAAUCAAGCUCUGCUUGGCCUUGGGGCCCGCUGUACCGGCGGCCCUUAAAACUAGUGGCGGUGCCGUCUGGCUCUAAGCGUAGUAAUACUUCUCGCUAUAGUGUCUAGGCGUCCACCCGCCGGAACCUCCAACUUUCUUAGGUUGACCUCAAAUCAGGCAGGACUACCCGCUGAACUUAAGCAUAUCAAUAAGCGGAGGCU